AAUAGAUACCCGGGUAGUCCACGCCGUAAACGAUGAGUGCUAGGUGUCGGGGGGUUUCGAUACCCGCGGUGCCGAAGUUAACACAUUAAGCACUCCGCCUGGGGAGUACGGUCGCAAGACUGAAACUCAAAGGAAUUGACGGGGACCCGCACAAGCAGUGGAGUAUGUGGUUUAAUUCGAAGCAACGCGAAGAACCUUACCAGGUCUUGACAUCCCCCUGACCGGUCUAGAGAUAGGCCUUCCCUUCGGGGCAGGGGAGACAGGUGGUGCAUGGUUGUCGUCAGCUCGUGUCGUGAGAUGUUGGGUUAAGUCCCGCAACGAGCGCAACCCUUGAUCUUAGUUGCCAGCACUUUGGGUGGGCACUCUAAGAUGACUGCCGGUGACAAACCGGAGGAAGGCGGGGAUGACGUCAAAUCAUCAUGCCCCUUAUGACCCUGGGCUACACACGUACUACAAUGGCCGGUACAAAGGGCUGCGAAGCCGCGAGGCGGAGCCAAUCCCAGCAAAGCCGGUCUCAGUUCGGAUUGCAGGCUGCAACUCG
This 541-nucleotide ribosomal RNA is filed under the name uncultured bacterium. Its description in RNAcentral is "bacterial SSU rRNA". It matches the Rfam family "Bacterial small subunit ribosomal RNA", at positions 777 to 1314 of the family's 1533-position model. The record is from RNAcentral.